AGAGUUUGAUCAUGGCUCAGGACGAACGCUGGCGGCGUGCUUAACACAUGCAAGUCGAGCGGUAAGGCCUUUCGGGGUACACGAGCGGCGAACGGGUGAGUAACACGUGGGUGAUCUGCCCUGCACUCUGGGAUAAGCCUGGGAAACUGGGUCUAAUACCGGAUAUGACCGCAUGAUGCAUGUUGUGUGGUGGAAAGCUUUUGUGGUGCAGGAUGGGCCCGCGGCCUAUCAGCUUGUUGGUGGGGUAAUGGCCUACCAAGGCGACGACGGGUAGCCGACCUGAGAGGGUGACCGGCCACACUGGGACUGAGACACGGCCCAGACUCCUACGGGAGGCAGCAGUGGGGAAUAUUGCACAAUGGGCGGAAGCCUGAUGCAGCGACGCCGCGUGAGGGAUGAAGGCCUUCGGGUUGUAAACCUCUUUCAGCAGGGCACGAAGCGUGAAUGACGGUACCUGCAGAAGAAGCUAGAG
This 472-nucleotide ribosomal RNA is filed under the name barley rhizosphere bacterium JJ-3427. Its description in RNAcentral is "bacterial SSU rRNA". It matches the Rfam family "Bacterial small subunit ribosomal RNA", at positions 8 to 496 of the family's 1533-position model. The record is from RNAcentral. Lineage: Bacteria; Pseudomonadati; Bacteroidota; Sphingobacteriia.